GACGAACGCUGGCGGCGUGCUUAACACAUGCAAGUCGAACGGAAAGGCCCUGCUUUUGUGGGGUGCUCGAGUGGCGAACGGGUGAGUAACACGUGAGUAACCUGCCCUUGACUUUGGGAUAACUUCAGGAAACCGGGGAUACUACCGGAUACGAGCGCCUGCUGCAUGGUGGGGGUUGGAAAGUUUAGGCGGAUGGGGAUGGACUUGGGGCUUAUCAGCUUGUUGGUGGGGUAGUGGCCUACCAAGUCUUUGACGGGUAGUCGGCCUGAGAGGGUGGCCGGCCACAUUGGGACUGAGAUACGGCCCAGACUCCUACGGGAGGCAGCAGUGGAGAAUAUUGCACAAUGGGCGGGAGCCUGAUGCGGCAACGCCGCGUGCGGGAUGACGGCCUUCGGGUUGUAAACCGCUUUCGCCUGUGACGAAGCGUGAGUGACGGUAAUGGGUAAAGAAGCACCGGCUAACUACGUG
Molecule: ribosomal RNA, 468 nt
Filed under: uncultured bacterium
Lineage: Bacteria
Description: partial 16S ribosomal RNA
Rfam family: Bacterial small subunit ribosomal RNA
Source: RNAcentral